AUAUUGGACAAUGGGGGCAACCCUGAUCCAGCAAUGCCGCGUGUGUGAAGAAGGCCUUCGGGUUGUAAAGCACUUUAGGCUGUGAGGAAGAUGUACUGUUUAAGAGAUGGUACAUUUGACUGUAGCAGCGGAAUAAGCACCGGCUAACUCUGUGCUAGCAGCCGCGGUAAUACAGAGGGUGCAAGCGUUAAUCGGAAUUACUGGGCGUAAAGGGCGCGUAGGCGGAAAUUUAAGUGAGAUGUGAAAUCCCUGGGCUUAACCUAGGAACUGCAUCUUAUACUGGAUUUCUGGAGUACUGUAGAGGGUAGUGGAAUUUCCGGUGUAGCGGUGAAAUGCGUAGAGAUCGGAAGGAACACCAGUGGCGAAGGCGGCUACCUGGACAGAUACUGACGCUGAGGCGCGAGAGCGUGGGGAGCAAACAGG
RNAcentral lists this ribosomal RNA (423 nucleotides) under uncultured bacterium. RNAcentral's name for it is "bacterial SSU rRNA". It matches the Rfam family "Bacterial small subunit ribosomal RNA", at positions 361 to 776 of the family's 1533-position model. The record is from RNAcentral.